CCUGACGGAGCAACGCCGCGUGAGUGAUGACGGCCUUCGGGUUGUAAAACUCUGUGAUCCGGGACGAAAAGGCAGAGUGCGAAGAACAAACUGCAUUGACGGUACCGGAAAAGCAAGCCACGGCUAACUACGUGCCAGCAGCCGCGGUAAUACGUAGGUGGCAAGCGUUGUCCGGAAUUAUUGGGCGUAAAGCGCGCGCAGGCGGCUUCCCAAGUCCCUCUUAAAAGUGCGGGGCUUAACCCCGUGAUGGGAAGGAAACUGGGAAGCUGGAGUAUCGGAGAGGAAAGUGGAAUUCCUAGUGUAGCGGUGAAAUGCGUAGAGAUUAGGAAGAACACCGGUGGCGAAGGCGACUUUCUGGACGAAAACUGACGCUGAGGCGCGAAAGCGUGGGGAGCAAACAGGAUUAGAUACCCUGGUAGUCCACGCCGUAAACGAUGGAUACUAGGUGUAGGAGGUAUCGACCCCUCCUGUGCCGGAGUUAACGCCAUAAGUAUCCCGCCUGGGGAAGUACGAUCGCAAGAUUAAAACUCAAAGGAAUUGACGGGGGGCCCGCACAAGCGGUGGAGUAUGUGGUUUAAUUCGACGCAACGCGAAGAACCU
RNAcentral lists this ribosomal RNA (600 nucleotides) under Dialister sp. oral taxon A97. RNAcentral describes it as "bacterial SSU rRNA". It matches the Rfam family "Bacterial small subunit ribosomal RNA", at positions 382 to 971 of the family's 1533-position model. Lineage: Bacteria; Bacillati; Bacillota; Negativicutes; Veillonellales; Veillonellaceae. The record is from RNAcentral.